CAGAAGAAUGGCAAUUCCAUUUUCAAUGCCUUUUUUCCAACCAUUUCUGGAGAUCUAAUUCAAUAUAUUACAAACAUCAUAUCCUCAUAUUGAACAUCUGUCUCAAUCUCUGCUUUCUGAAUUUAAUGGAAAUGAAUUGACAAAAAUAUAGAGAGAGACAAUUCCUUUUUUCAUUUGAAUGAAAGAUUCAUUUAUCUUUUCCUGGAUUUCUAAUUUUGCUAAAAUUUUGGUCAUAAUUUAAGGCUAUUACAGAGCACCCCUGUAAGACUUUGGGUUGCAAAUGACAGAAAUACAACUCAAAUGCCCUGAGAAUAGGAGUAAAAAAGAAAAGGAAGUAGAUUGACUCAAAUAACUUGAAUUCUAUGUAGGCUUCAGGCACCACUGGAUGAAGGGUCUUAAACAAUGCCACUGGCUAUCUGACUUUCCCUCUGUCACUUAGCUUUAUUUCCUUUCAUAUGUGGCUUUAUUUUUGCAGACAGGAUCUCUCCAUAUAGUAAGGGUAAGGACAAUCAGCAGUGGAGUAUUCACAUCUCCACCCCAGCACUUUGACUUCAAAAAAGCAUAAAACAGUCUUUUGUUAUCACUUAAGGAAAACUGUGGUGAUUAGCCCCACUUGUGUUGCAUAUCAGCUCCUGGCACCACAAAAGAUUGUCACAAUGAAACCACACAGGAUGGAGGAGAGCAGUUCAGGAAGGAAGGGAUGCUGGCCCACAAUUUAGAGAAGAAACUGAAAACUCUCUACUGUGUUCUUGGACCAGUCUGUGGGUAACAUAAUCAUCUCCCUUUUCUUCAUGAUUGGUCCCAAUCUCUAUACCCAGGGACCAGGUCUGGCUUUUGACAGUGAGGCCAAUACAAGGUCACAAUGGUACCCUUGGUGACCCACUAUUACCCUAUCUGAGCACCAGCACAGUAAAGAUAAAUUAAGAAGACUUUGCCUAAAACAUUCUGCAUCUUGAGCAAAAUCAGGGAUUAGAUCAGCUGAAGUGUCAUGUCUGGUACCUCUUGGAGCUCUUGGCACAGGGUAGAAGCCAAAGGAAAGCAGGUAACAUCAUAAGUGCCAAGUCCUCAUCUCCUCUCAAAAGUUCCAUCCCAUUCAGAGGUUGCAUCAGCAACAUCGCAAGUGAUCCAAGCUCCACAGCUCAACUCCAUCCAUCAAAAGGCUAUCCACACACCCCAGCUCUGCACAAUGACUUGCAGUCAUUUCGGUUUUACAGAAAAACUAACCCUUUAGGAUAUUUGAAGGUGAGGUGGAAGAAGAAAGAAAAAAUGGUUACAGACCUGGUCCUGAAGUCUAAUCAAGAAUGGAGGAAGGACAUCAAAGCAGGGUGUCUUUUUCAUCCUGCCUCCCAAGAGUAGUCUGCCAUGAGAAAUACAAAAUCAUGCAAUUUAAUAAUCAAAAAUACAUUUUAAAGAAAAGAGAAGUAGAUGUACUAGAUAGCUGGGAUGUCUUGGUUGCUACAAUUGAAUAUUAACUUAACUGUAAGCUUCUACCUGCCAGCUAGGGCAAAAAUUCUAGGUACUGGACUGGUCCUAUGAGUGAGUCAGCAUACAACAGCUACGUUGGAGGGUUAACUUUCUCCAGAUUCCAUUUUUAGGUAUGUAAUAAUAAAUGUGCAAUGUCCUGUCCUGAUAUAUUAGAAAGGAUGUAUUUACUUUAAGCACAUGUAUCCACGUAGAGUUCACAGAACUAAUACACACAUAGAAUAUAGGGAUGAUUUGCAAGAACUCCCCCUUGUCACAGGAUGCAUUCCUCCUGCAGAGCAUGCAAAGUGUAGAGCAGUGGAGAGAGAAGGGGGUCACCAAGGAAGGCACUAAAGGAAAAGAAUGAUCAUUUGUUAAAGUAUUAUGCCAUGUCAUCAUAUCUUCUCAACAGCUAAGUAAAAUAAGCAUUAAUAGUCACGAUUUUAUACUUGAUAAUGGCAAAGGCUAAGUAAUAACUAGAAUAUUAUUUACCUAAAAAAUAACUAGAGGAAUAUAAUUUGAGCCUAGAUCUAUCACCUCCAUUUCUUAUAAAUGGAAGAUGGGCAUCUGGUCCCCAUUCCGUCUCUUGCUAGUUGUGUGACUGACCUGAGGCAAGUCACAAAAAACUCCCUUGAUACCUGAGUCAUCAGCUGAUAAAAGGGAUCACUGGGUUGGUGGAAAAGUAAAAAUGAAAUAAUAGGUAAAACUGGCUGGGCACAGUGGCUCAUGCCUGUAAUCCCAGCACUUUGGGAGGCCAAGGCAGGCAGAUGGCUUGAGCCCAGGAGUUCAAGACCAAUCUGGCCCACGAUCUUAAAAACCUCAUCUGUAAUAAAAAUACAAAAAUUAGCUGGGCAUGGUGGCACGUGCCUGUAAUCCCAGUUACUCAG
Molecule: long non-coding RNA, 2348 nt
Organism: Pan paniscus (pygmy chimpanzee)
Lineage: Eukaryota; Metazoa; Chordata; Mammalia; Primates; Hominidae
Source: Ensembl